UACGUAGGGGGCAAGCGUUAUCCGGAAUUACUGGGUGUAAAGGGAGAGUAGGCGGCAAGGUAAGCGAUAUGUGAAAGCCUUAGGCUUAACCAAAGGAUUGCAUAACGAACUAUCUAGCUAGAGUACAGGAGAGGAAAGCGGAAUUCCUAGUGUAGCGGUGAAAUGCGUAGAUAUUAGGAAGAACACCAGUGGCGAAGGCGGCUUUCUGGACUGAAACUGACGCUGAGGCUCGAAAGCGUGGGGAGCGAACAGG
RNAcentral lists this ribosomal RNA (253 nucleotides) under uncultured bacterium. Its description in RNAcentral is "partial 16S ribosomal RNA". It matches the Rfam family "Bacterial small subunit ribosomal RNA", at positions 524 to 776 of the family's 1533-position model. The record is from RNAcentral.